RNA transcript from Mus musculus (house mouse), 4732 nucleotides. It is a transcript of the gene named mannose phosphate isomerase, with no coding region annotated. NCBI's taxonomy places the organism in Eukaryota, Metazoa, Chordata, Mammalia, Rodentia, Muridae. The transcript is spliced from 9 exons. The record is from RefSeq and is marked validated.
AAACUACAUUUCCCGUGAAGCUCCGCGCGCAGAAAAAGCGGAGGCUGCUGGGAAGAACUUAACGUUCCUGAAGCCGGGUUUCAGGCAACUGGGAUGGCGAGUCCGCGAGUGUUCCCACUUUCCUGUGUGGUGCAGCAGUAUGCCUGGGGGAAGGUGGGCUCCAAAAGUGAAGUGGCAUGCCUGCUGGCUAGCAGUGAUCCACUGGCCCAGAUUUCAGAGGACAAGCCAUAUGCAGAGCUGUGGAUGGGGACACACCCCCGGGGAGAUGCCAAGAUCCUUGACAACCGUAUUUCCCAGAAGACCUUAGGCCAGUGGAUUGCUGAAAACCCGGACUGCUUGGGCUCAAAGGUCAAAAACACCUUUAAUGGAAAGCUGCCCUUCCUCUUCAAAGUACUGUCAGUGGACACGGCCCUGUCUAUCCAGGCACACCCUAACAAGGAGCUGGCAGAGAAGCUGCAUCUCCAGGCUCCAGAGCACUACCCUGAUGCCAACCACAAGCCAGAAAUGGCCAUUGCCCUUACCUCCUUCCAGGGCUUGUGUGGUUUCCGGCCAGUGGAGGAGAUUGUGACCUUUAUGAAGAAGGUGCCUGAGUUCCAGUUGCUGAUUGGAGAUGAUGCCACAGCACAGCUGAAGGAGAGCGUGGGUGGGGAUACUGAGGCCAUGGCUUCUGCUCUGAGGAACUGCUUUUCCCACCUGAUGAAGAGUGAGAAGAAGGUGGUGGUGGAGCAGCUUAACCUGUUGGUGAAACGGAUCUCCCAGCAAGGAAACUCAGCUCACCCUGCUCCUGCCCUCCCAAGACGCCUCCCUCCUCCCUCUGGCCCAGGCUGAGCGCCUCUUCUCUUGUGGCCUUGGGAUGCUCUGUGACCCUCAGUAUUUGACGGAAACAAUAUGGAGGACAUUUAUGGGAAGCUCUUGCUGCAGCUGCACCAACAGCACCCAGGUGAUAUCGGAUGUUUCGCCAUCUACUUCCUGAACCUGCUCACCUUGAAGCCUGGGGAAGCCAUGUUUCUGGAUGCCAACGUACCCCAUGCCUACCUGAAGGGAGACUGCGUGGAAUGCAUGGCAUGUUCGGACAAUACCGUGCGUGCUGGCCUGACACCCAAAUUCAUUGAUGUGCCAACCCUGUGUGAAAUGCUCAACUACACACCUAGCCCCAGCAACAACAGGCUGUUUGCCCCAGCACAGAGUCAAGAUGACCCCUAUCUCUCUAUCUAUGAUCCUCCUGUGCCAGACUUCACUGUUAUGAAGAUGGAGGUCCCUAGCUCUGUCACUGAAUACAAAGUCUCAACACUAGACUCUGCCAGCAUCCUUCUGAUGGUCCAAGGGACAGUGACAGCUAUCAUACCUUCAGCCCAUGCAGAAAUCCCUCUGUACCGUGGUGGAGUGCUCUUCAUUGCAGCCAAUGAGAGUGUCUUACUGAAGAUUACUGUGCCCAAGGAUCUGCUGAUAUUCCGGGCCUGCUGUCUGCUGUAGAGACUAGUUCUUAGUCUCUCUGCCUACCACUGUAUCCUGGCCAGCUCCAUAUUUCAGGUGUAGCCCAAUCCCUGUCCCUGUUGUGCACUCUUUGAAUGUAUACUGGAUUAGAAGCAGUAAAUUUGGCAUUAGUAACUCCAGGAGCAUGCCCAGGCUGGACCAUCUUCAGGACAAGGUUUCUGUAUGCAUGAAGCCUGAGGCCUGCCACUCUUCUGUACCCUCUCAACACUGUUACCUCUGAGCCAGUGUGUCCACCAAAGAGGCAACCACUCUGCCCUAGCUGAGGUGUUAGGCUAACAAAGCAUGCAUCCCCCAGCAUUAGCUCAGCAUGCUCUCAGCUGCAGAGAAGGGAAGGGAAGGGAAGGGAAGGAAGGGAAGGGGUAGGCCAGUGGACUAAUGAAGCGUAUUCCCUCUAGCUCCGUCAAAGUAAUUAAAGAUCACUUGUGUUGAGGAUACAGAGUGAAGAGCAGUCAGCCUUUGGUAUGCCUGUCCCUGAUGUGGGAGGAAGGAGCUCUCUGAUGAUGUCCAGGUUUGGUUUGAAUUCUUCAUACAGCUUCGUGGGGGUGGGCAGGCUGGAUUCCAGAAUGCUUUUACAGGAAGGGGUGGGAGAGGAAGCCAGCUCCAGCCUCAGUUGGACAGCUUGCAGGGAGGCCUUCUGCUCCUGUAGUUGACUUUUUCUGAGACUGUCUUCAUGUUCCAAAGGUUGGCUUUGGAGCUCUGCUUCUGCUUCCUAAUGGCCCCUGGUGUUUGCACAUGGUAUGUAUGUGCACAUGGUAUGUAUGUGCACAUGGCAUGUAUGUGCACAUGGCAUGUAUGUGCACAUACAUGCACCUGCGUGUUACUCCUCAAGAACCAUCACCUUUUUUUGAGACAGGGUCUCUCACUGGUGCCUGGAACUCACCAGUUCAGCUAGACUGACUAACUAGCAGGUCUCAGUGGUCCUUCAUCUUGACCUCCUCAGAACUGGGAUUACAGGUGUGUGCCACUACUUUUGGCUUCUUAUUUGGGUGCUUGGGGUGAGGGCUCAGGGAUUUGAACUCAGGUCCUCAUACUUGCAUGGUAAGCACUUUAACAACUGAGCCAUCUUCGUAGCCCCUUUAUGUAUUGUUGAGGUUAUCAGACAGCUCAGGCUAGUGCUAUGUAUUGGGGGCUGGAGACACAAUUCAGCAGUUAAAAAGUACUUGCUGUCUUUGCAGAGUACCCAGGUUUCAUUCCCAGUUCCCAUGUGGUGGCUCACAAUUGUAACUCCAGUUCUAAGAGAUUUGACGCCUGUUCUGACUUCUAUGGACUCUUGCACCUGCAUACAUGUAGUACACACACACUUAAGUGUACCCCCCCCCCCCACAUAAGAUUAAAAAACCAAAGCUGGCUUUUAAUCCCAGCACUUGGGAGGCAGAGGUAGGUGGAUCUCUUAAAUUUGAGGUCAGCCUGGUCUAAGUUUGAGUGAGUUCCAGGAUAGCUAAGGUUACACAGAAAAACUGUAUCAAACCAACCAAACCAAACCAAGCCACCCACUGCAGCACAGUACAGCUCACUACCAGGACUGCAUUUAUUAUAACAGACUAUGAAAGUGCAAGGCAAGAAAGAGGACUGAGGGGCAGUGUAAACAAACGUGGGGGAGGCACAGGCACUCCUGAGGAGGCUCAGACGCCCUCCUUCCCAGGGACAGCCUCCCGCAGAACACCCAGCCCUUGGAAUUAAGGCAGUUAGGGUGUGAGCACCUCUGUGCCUUUAUUGGUGUUAUUUUUGUCUGUCCCCUAACAGCUGCCCAUUUCUAUCCCUCCUAGCUGGACACUACUGAGCUUUUUCCACAAGUAAUGCUUUUCCACACGAGGCCACCUAGCUCGACAACUUUCCUUCCAGGGACAGUUCUAGCCAAGUACAACUACCCCAGAGAGUGUGGUUUCUUGGGCACUGCCCACCCCCAGGAGCUGCCAAAUGUCCAGGCUACUCUGUUUUAACCAAACAGAAAUAGAACUCCACACUUAAGUUCCACAAGCCCUUGUGGCCUCACUGAGCCCUACCACCAAGUCUUUCUCUACUCUGUACUAUCUCUGUUCCCUCUGCACAUGAGGACUCCACCUCUGCAGAGCCCUAGAAGCCUGGAUAUGGUCUGUGUUCCUUCCCUGCAGGCCAUACAUAAAGUGCUCAGAAUGAGAUCCUUGCACAGAGUUGCAGACUCCCACUGUAGAGCCCAGGCAGCAUCUAUGACCCAACCCAAGAACCAAGUAGAUGUGCCUCUGGCUUCUGUCCCAUCUUCCUUCUUGUGAUGCUGCCAAGCAGUCGAGUAAAAAGCCCCUAGACAUAGUAUACUCUUUUCAGCCUUCCACAGCCUGAGAGCAACAACAAAACCCCCUGCUAGGCACUGGCAACAAUCAUGAGAACAGAUUUGUGGCCAAGUAAUAGGGAAAGCCUUAUCUUUUGAUCUUACCUUUUUUGCUACUACCUAUGAAAGGACAUAGCAGGCAUAUCAUUUCUCCUAAGCCUCCAGUAAUCACUGGACGGACAGUCACAUGUGGUGCCCAACCCCUAACUCUGACUAUUGCCGCCCCUUAUGCUGGGAACCGUAUCUACCCCAAGCCUCACCACACACCUGGGUAAGAUAAAGCAAAGAGGCCAGGCAGUGGUGGCGCACGCCUUUAAUCCCAGCACUUGGGAGGCAGGGGCAGGUGGAUUUCUGAGUUCAAGGUCAGCCUGGUCUACAGAGUAAGUUCCAGGACAGCCAGGGGGCUACACAGAGAAACCCUGUCUCGAAAAACCAAAAAAAAAAAAAAAACCCCAAAGAGGAGGACCCGGGCAGAGGGGGACUGGGAAAACUAGAUUCCAGGAAGAGGCUUAGUACUGAGUCUCAGGCUUGGGGCUUAGCUGUGUUCUCCCAGAGGCUUUUUUUUUUGUUUUGUUUUGUGCAUCAGCCCUAGCCUUGCACAGGCUAGGCAAGUGCUCUACCAGCCUGUGAGCCCUGUGCUGGGGAGAGAAAUGUGCCUUGUUAGAGGGAAGGCCUCCUUGCACUGCAGAUUCAUCAACUCAAGUGGGGUCCAGGAGCUGGCUUAAGUCUCCCCUUCCCAUCCUGUCUAAACAUUUCCAUGUAGGCCAGAGUCACACAGCUACACCAGGACACCUCUCAUCCAUCAAUACUUCUCAAAAGCUUACACAGCUAAACAUAGGAAGGCACUAACUUCCCAGCAGCUCCCUCUGCUGGUAAUAACAAAAACUGCAGAUUCCUGCCAAUCCAAUUUUUACCUCAAAAAAAAAAAAAAAA